Molecule: ribosomal RNA, 573 nt
Filed under: uncultured bacterium
Lineage: Bacteria
Description: partial 16S ribosomal RNA
Rfam family: Bacterial small subunit ribosomal RNA
Source: RNAcentral
UGGGGAAUUUUCGGACAAUGGGCGAAAGCCUGAUCCAGCAAUGCCGCGUGUGUGAAGAAGGCCUUCGGGUUGUAAAGCACUUUUGUCCGGAAAGAAAUCCUUGGCUCUAAUACAGUCGGGGGAUGACGGUACCGGAAGAAUAAGCACCGGCUAACUACGUGCCAGCAGCCGCGGUAAUACGUAGGGUGCAAGCGUUAAUCGGAAUUACUGGGCGUAAAGCGUGCGCAGGCGGUUUGCUAAGACCGAUGUGAAAUCCCCGGGCUCAACCUGGGAACUGCAUUGGUGACUGGCAGGCUAGAGUAUGGCAGAGGGGGGUUAGAAUUCCACGUGUAGCAGUGAAAUGCGUAGAGAUGUGGAGGAAUACCGAUGGCGAAGGCAGCCCCCUGGGCCAAUACUGACGCUCAUGCACGAAAGCGUGGGGAGCAAACAGGAUUAGAUACCCUGGUAGUCCACGCCCUAAACGAUGUCAACUAGUUGUUGGGGAUUCAUUUCCUUAGUAACGUAGCUAACGCGUGAAGUUGACCGCCUGGGGGAGUACGGUCGCAAGAUUAAAACUCAAAGGAAUUGACGGGG